AUUGAACGCUGGCGGCAGGCCUAACACAUGCAAGUCGAGCGGAUGAAGGGAGCUUGCUCCUGGAUUCAGCGGCGGACGGGUGAGUAAUGCCUAGGAAUCUGCCUGGUAGUGGGGGAUAACGUCCGGAAACGGGCGCUAAUACCGCAUACGCCCUGAGGGAGAAAGUGGGGGAUCUUCGGACCUCACGCUAUCAGAUGAGCCUAGGUCGGAUUAGCUAGUUGGUGGGGUAAAGGCCUACCAAGGCGACGAUCCGUAACUGGUCUGAGAGAAUGAUCAGUCACACUGGAACUGAGACACGGUCCAGACUCCUACGGGAGGCAGCAGUGGGGAAUAUUGGACAAUGGGCGAAAGCCUGAUCCAGCCAUGCCGCGUGUGUGAAGAAGGUCUUCGGAUUGUAAAGCACUUUAAGUUGGGAGGAAGGGCAGUAAGUUAAUACCUUGCUGUUUUGACGUUACCAACAGAAUAAGCACCGGCUAACUUCGUG
This 484-nucleotide ribosomal RNA is filed under the name uncultured bacterium. RNAcentral's name for it is "partial 16S ribosomal RNA". It matches the Rfam family "Bacterial small subunit ribosomal RNA", at positions 30 to 507 of the family's 1533-position model. The record is from RNAcentral.